RNAcentral lists this ribosomal RNA (456 nucleotides) under uncultured bacterium. Its description in RNAcentral is "SSU rRNA". It matches the Rfam family "Bacterial small subunit ribosomal RNA", at positions 26 to 518 of the family's 1533-position model. The record is from RNAcentral.
AGAAUCAACGCUGGCGGCGUGCCUAACACAUGCAAGUCGCACGAGAAAGGGACUUCGGUCCUGAGUACAGUGGCGCACGGGUGAGUAACACGUGAAUAAUCUACCUCCGAGUGGGGAAUAACUGAGAGAAAUCUUAGCUAAUACCGCAUAACACUUACGAGUCAAAGCAGCAAUGCGCUUGGAGAGGAGUUCGCGGCAGAUUAGUUAGUUGGCGGGGUAAUGGCCCACCAAGACGAUGAUCUGUAUCCGGCCUGAGAGGGCGCACGGACACACUGGAACUGAAACACGGUCCAGACUCUACGGGAGGCAGCAGUGGGGAAUUUUGCGCAAUGGGGGAAACCCUGACGCAGCAACGCGCGUGGAGGAUGAAAUCCCUUGGGAUGUAAACUCUUUCGAUCGGGAAGAUAAUGACGGUACCGAGAGAAGAAGCCCGGCUAACUUCGUGCCAGCAGCCGC